This 346-nucleotide unclassified non-coding RNA is filed under the name soil metagenome. Its description in RNAcentral is "partial contains 5.8S ribosomal RNA, internal transcribed spacer 2, and large subunit ribosomal RNA". The stretch from base 1 to 120 matches the Rfam family "5.8S ribosomal RNA", at positions 35 to 154 of the family's 154-position model. The record is from RNAcentral.
GAUGAAGAACGUAGCGAAAUGCGAUAAGUAAUGUGAAUUGCAGAAUUCAGUGAAUCAUCGAGUCUUUGAACGCACAUUGCGCCCCCUGGUAUUCCGGGGGGCAUGCCUGUCCGAGCGUCAUUGCUGCCCUCAAGCACGGCUUGUGUGUUGGGCCCCGCCCCCCGGCUCCCGGGGCGGGCCCGAAAGGCAGCGGCGGCACCGCGUCCGGUCCUCGAGCGUAUGGGGCUUCGUCACCCGCUCCGUAGGCCCGGCCGGCGCCCGCCGGCGACCCCCCUCAAUCUUUUCAGGUUGACCUCGGAUCAGGUAGGGAUACCCGCUGAACUUAAGCAUAUCAAUAAGCGGAGGA